AUGCCUGGGGCACACGCGUGGAUCUGUGUCCCUGGCGUGUCCCCAUGUUGGCUGUGGCAUGUCCCAGGCAUGUCCCUUUCCAUGUCCAUGCGUGUCCAUGCAGUGGUGGUGGCGUGUCCCUGUCCGUGCCCAUGCGUGUCCCCACGCUGGCUGUGGCGUGUCCCCACGGUGGCCGUGGCAUGUCCCAGCUGUGUCUCCAGCCACGUCCUUGCAAGUCCCCACGGUGGCCAUGGCCUGUCCCUAGCUGUGUCCUUCCACGGCCCCCCCCAUGGUGGUGGCCGUGUCCCCAGGAUGCUUGUGGCCACAACCCUGUCCUUGCGUGUCCCCCAUGGCAGCGUUGGCAUCUUCCUUGCGUGUCCUCCCAUGGCAGCGUUGGCGUGUCCCCCGCGGUGGGCAUGUUCCCACAGGGGGGGGGGGGGGGUCCCGAUGGCCCCGUGGUGGCCAUGUCCCCGUGUCAGCUAUGUCCUUAUGCCCGCUAGGUCCUCAUGGCGGCUAUGUCCCUAUGGUCCCCUUGUCCCCAAAUCCUUGUCCCCUGGUCCCCAAGGUGGCCAUGUCCCCAUGUCACCACCUCCCUGUGUCCCCAUAGCGGCCUUGUCCCCAUAUCCUAAUGUCCCAGGUCCUGGUGAUGGCAGGGUCCUGGUGGUCAUGCUCACCCGCCCCCGGUGUCACCAUCCUCCUGUGGUCCCAUGGUGUCCCCAUGUCCCCGUGGCCGUGCCCCCCCCCAAUCUGUCCCCUUAUCCCCGCUCCAUGGUGGCCAAAUCCUGAUGACCCUCUUCCCCCACUAUGUCCCUGUGGCCCGGCAUCCCCAUGUCCUUGUGUGUCCUUAUGGGCCCGGUGUCACCAUCCCCCCCCCCGUGUCCUCGCGGUGGCCGGGUCCCCGUUAUCCCCCUGUCUCGCAGGGCCGCGUACUCCACGGUGUCCUCGGCCUCCCUGGUGUCCACGCAGCGUCCCUGUGGCGUCCCCGGCGAGGACAGGGCCAGGGCAGCGUAGAGCAGGGUCCCUUCCCGGUUCCCGUCCCCAUCGCUCUGGCCGGGAUGGACGUUCUCGUAGUCGGGCCCCUCAGUGGCCUGUGGGGACACAGGCAGCCUCGGACGGGGGGGUGACAUAGGGGUGAUGAGGGGACAUGGGACUCGGGGACAACCAGGGGACAUGGACGGGAAACGGAGGGACAUGGGGGACAUGGAGAACAUGGGGGACAUGGAGGGACAUGGAGAUCAUGGGGGACAUGAAGGGACAUGGGGGACAUGGUAGGGACAUGGUCAUGGAGGGACAUGGAGAACAUGGGGGACAUGGUGUCAUGAAGGGACAGGGAGAACAUGGGGGACAUGGAGAACAUGGUGGGGUCAUGGAGGGACAUGGGGACAUGGAGGGACACAGUGGUACCUUGGCACCCCCCUGGCUCCUCUUGAGGACACUGUAGACCACGGUGUCCCCUCGCAACCUAGCAGAGGGGACAGAGACAGGGUAGAUCACCCGGAUGCCUGGGCCCCCGGGGACAAGGUGACCCAUGGGUGGGGUGUGUUACCUGGCCCCGGUCCCCGACGAGCAGCCAGAGGGGAAGAGCAGCGAUGAGUAACUCAGGGUGGCAUCGGUGGGACCCUCCGGGGACCCAGCUGUCCGGGGCUGCCGAGGGGGACCCAGGUGUCCGGGCUGAGAUGUCACCUCCGUGGAGCACCAUAAGGAGCCCAGAGGGACCCAGGCGUCCGGGAAGGACCCAGGCGUCCGGGGUAGGGUUGGGGAGAGGGGGGGUCAGGUACCUUCUUAU
RNAcentral lists this long non-coding RNA (1765 nucleotides) under Struthio camelus australis. RNAcentral describes it as "lncRNA (ENSSCUG00000009711.1)". The record is from RNAcentral. Lineage: Eukaryota; Metazoa; Chordata; Aves; Struthioniformes; Struthionidae.